CAAUGAUGUUGUGCGUUCUCCUAUCAGAUUGCACAACAUCAUUGUCAACGUUGCCAACUCGCCGUGUGAGCAAGAAGGGUCCUUGCCACUUGAGCAAAGGAUUCCAUGCUUGAUUGUUGGCUUGUAUGCUCCUCCUCCUCCUCCUCUUCCUCCUCCUCCCCCACCUAGGCGAUGAAAGGGAGUUUGUUGUCAUUGAUGAGAAGAACUUUCACCAUAAAAGAAAGAGAGAGCUGCCGGACAUUGCCCACCUGUGGAAUUGACACAGACUUCACCCCAGUAGGAACGCAGUUUCCCCAGGUGGACAACCACAACUGAUGUACAGCCUUCCCCAGCUGUUUGGUCUACAUCAAGGCAGUAUCCCAUUAGCAGAUACAGGCUUGUAGAGAGGAAUGCCUGGCAAGAGGUCCACAUUCAUGUGACUGUUUUUGACAUUUGUUGCCUUGCAAUGUCAGAGGUAUGUGUUUAAAGCCUUGAUUAUGCUGACAAUGUAUCUGUGGGCUUUGUCAAAAAAAACUAAAUCAUUUUGGCCCUAUUAUUACUUUGAUUCAGCCAUUUACCUGAUUUAUUAAGGAACCAACUGGUAGCAACAGUGCCCAAAUCUUUUGGAUAUAAUGUUAAAAUUCAAAC
Long non-coding RNA from Acanthopagrus latus (yellowfin seabream), 627 nucleotides. RefSeq lists it as uncharacterized. NCBI's taxonomy places the organism in Eukaryota, Metazoa, Chordata, Actinopteri, Spariformes, Sparidae. The record is from RefSeq and is a predicted model, not a curated record. The transcript is spliced from 3 exons.